RNAcentral lists this transfer RNA (77 nucleotides) under Candidatus Saccharimonadota bacterium. RNAcentral's name for it is "tRNA-Val". It matches the Rfam family "tRNA". From Rfam's summary of the family: Transfer RNA (tRNA) molecules are approximately 80 nucleotides in length. Their secondary structure includes four short double-helical elements and three loops (D, anti-codon, and T loops). RNAcentral also lists the same sequence under 2 other names. Lineage: Bacteria; Candidatus Saccharimonadota. The record is from RNAcentral.
GGACGAUUAGCUCAGUUGGCUAGAGCACCACAUUGACGUUGUGGGGGUCAGAGGUUCGAGUCCUCUAUCGUCCACCA